CACGUAGGGCGCAAGCGUUGUCCGGAAUUAUUGGGCGUAAAGAGCUCGUAGGUGGUUUGUUACGUCUGCUGUGAAAACCUAGGGCUUAACCCUGGGCUUGCAGUGGAUACGGGCAGACUAGAGGUAGGUAGGGGAGAAUGGAAUUCCUGGUGUAGCGGUGAAAUGCGCAGAUAUCAGGAGGAACACCGGUGGCGAAGGCGGUUCUCUGGGCCUUAUCUGACACUGGAGGAGCGAAAGCGUGGGGAGCGAACAGG
RNAcentral lists this ribosomal RNA (254 nucleotides) under uncultured bacterium. RNAcentral describes it as "partial 16S ribosomal RNA". It matches the Rfam family "Bacterial small subunit ribosomal RNA", at positions 524 to 776 of the family's 1533-position model. The record is from RNAcentral.